GCACUAAGCAACUCAGUGAGACUUUGUUUCUAAAUAAAAUAUGAAAAAGGGCUGGGGAUAUUGCUCAGUGGUUAAGUGCCACUGGGUUCAAUACCUGGUACAAAAAAAAAAAGUUACUAAAAUAAACAUUUUAUAAUAAAAGUGUCAAUCUAUCAUGAAGGAACAUAUAACAACUAUAAGCAUGUAGACACCUAACAACAGAAAUGCAAAAUACCUGAAGCAAAAAUCAACUCAAUUGAAAGAAAUCUACAAUGAAACAGGAAGAGUUGCAGGCUUUAGUAUCCUACUUUCCACAAAGCAUAGAGCAACAAGGCAAAGAAAACAAUAUUUGAACAACACUAUAAAUCACUUACACCUAUAUGAUCUAUCUAUUGAACACAACACUGCGGAAUAAGAUUCUUAUAAAGCACACAUUGCACAUUCUCUAGGAUAGGCCAUUAUGGUAGGCUAUAAAGCAAGCAUCAGAUUUGGAAAAGUUUUCCAAGUAUUCCUGCUUCCUGUUCUAAGCUUUGAAAUUCAUGAAUAUGUGGAAAUUUAAAAACAUACUCCUAAAUAAUGGUUCAAAGAAGAAUCUCAAGAGAAAUUAGAAAAUGAGAUGAAUGAAAACAUAACAUACCAAAAGGUGAGAUCCUCCUGCCUCAGCCUCCUGAGUCACUGGAAUUAUAGGCAUGUGCCACUGUACCUGGCUUUUCUGAGACAUUUCCAUCAGCACUGAACAUAACAGUUAUUCCUCCUGUGUUAAUACAAUAGCUAGUGCAAACAACCAAACAAAAAUCAAGAUCUUGUCACAUCCUCUCCAGCUCAGCCUUUUGUUCUACUCAGGCCUUAAGAUGAUUGGAUAAGCCUACUCACAUUUUAGAGAGCAAUCUUCUUCACUCAGAUUCCUCUGGUUUUGUAAACCUAAUCUAAAACACUCUCACAGAAACAUUAAUGUUUGAUUAAAUAUCUGGUAUCUAUGGCUCAGCCAAGUUGACACAUAAAAUUAACCACAACUUGUAUGAUGACAAGAAACUAGAUGCAGGGAGACCAGAUGGGUGGGAAUUGGAUAAUUGAUAAGAAAGGAAGGUGAAAGCUGGCCAUAUUUUGAAUAGUUUGAAGACUAAGAUGACAAAUUACAGUUGGAAUGAAUGUAGGAUAUAAAAGAAAGGAAUCAAAGAUGACUCAAAUUUUGGGUCUUAAACUGGAAGAAAAAUGCCACCAUUUCCUGAUAAGGAGGAACAAGUAGAGGUGAGAGCUUGGCAACAAAAUUUGCUGAAUGUUUUUUUUAUUCUGUUUUGUAUAUCAUACAAACCAUGUUUAAAAACUGGAGUGGCUAUUCUAAUAUCAGAUAAAUAUACAUUAAGCCAAAAAGUUACUAGAAAUAAAUGUUUUAUGAUAAAAAUUUCAAUCUAUCAAGAAAGUAUAACAGUUAUACUUGAAGCCUGUUGUAUAUGGGGAAAUGAGCUGGGUGUCCCCAAGGGAAUGGUGAAAGGAUGGGUGACAGUGAGGAAAAGAGACUUCAUUCUGGCUGAGGUAACCUGGACAGAAAAAAGGUUGAGGAAACCAGUCGUACUGGCAUGGUAGAUUUUGCCUCAGGAGCACUGGGUCUCACAGCAUUCAGCCAUGGCCCAGAAGAGAGACUAGGUUUUGGUCUGCCAAACACCUAACAGUGCCACACACUGUUCUCAGUGCUGGGGAGCGAGGAAUGUGACUAGCGUCCUUAACUUAAAACCAUAAGUGGCUUCUGACCACCUUUAGAACCAACUCCAACAUCUUCACCAGGCCUCUGACUUCACCUCUAUCCAUACAUUGUGUCAUUCCCCCCACCUCUCUUUUUUUGCACUUAUAUCACAUUCACAUUUCUUCAACUCCUUGGAACACCUGUUCUUUUUCUGAUUGAGGGGCUUGCAUAGCUUUUUUCUCAACCUAAAAUGAAUUUUUCCCCCCUUGCUUUACCUAAGACUUUCAGAUUUAUCCUCAGGGAAAAUAAGGAGAAGAAAGAGAAGCCUUAGUCUACCCCCAAACACCCAGUCACCUCCAGCCCACCCCUGUGCUCUCUUUCUCUGUCAGCAUGCAUGUACAGUUCAGGUCUUCUGUGAUGCUCUCCAGAUUUCUCUUUUAUAAUAUAUUCAUACUUACCUAUUCUUGUUCUAGGUCUGUUUCCUCAUUGAAUAACAAGCUCUAUGGGAGCAAGAACUGUGCUUUUCUCAUUUACUAAGAUAUUGUAUGGCAAAGUACUCAAAAUGCACCAGACACUAACAUACAUUGAUUGAAUUGAAAAAAAAUUUUUUUAUGCUACUAGGGAUUGAACCCAAGGCUUCUUGCCUUCUAAGCAAGCACUCUACCACUGAGCUAUACCCCCAGCACUUUUUAAAAUUAUUUCAUUUUGAGGCAGUCUUGCUAAAUUGCCCAACCUGGCCCGGAACUUCUUGGCAGGCUCACUGGAUAAAUGAAUGAAUGGAUGCUAUUUUUCUUUUUUCAUUUUUGGUUUCUGAGGAUUGAAACCAUGGGCACUUUACCACUGAGCCAUAUCCCCAGCCCUUUGAAUUUUUUAUUUUGAGACAGGGUCUUGCUAAAUUGCUGUGGCUGACCUUGAACUUGCAAUCUUCCUGUUUCGACCUCCCAAGAACUUGGAUGAUAGGUGUAUACCAAUGCACCCAGCAAAUGCCAUAUUUUGAAUGUGUCCCCUAAUGUUCAUGUAUUGGAAACUCAACCUCCAAAUUCAUAUGUUAACCGUAUUUGGAGGUGGGAUCCUAAGGAAGUAAGUAGGAUUAGGUGAGGUCCUGAAUAUGGUUUCCCCAUUAUAGCAUUAGUGGAUUUAUAAGAUGAGGAACAGAUUCCUGAAAUGCACGUUUUCUCUGUUGCCACCACAUUUCCCUUCAUGGUGAUGCAGCAAGAAGUCCCUCACCAGAGACAGAGCAGAUGCCUGUGCCACAUGCUUGGACUUCCUACCCUCUAACACUGUGAGCCAAACAAACUCCUAUUCUUUCUUUAUAAAUUAUUUGGACUCAGCUAUUUUGUUAUAGCAAGAGAAAAUGGACUACAUCAAUGAUAAUCAGACCCCAAGAACCAAGCCUCUUAAACUCAGUUAUUAAUGUUCAGACCUCUACUCAAGGCUCAUGGCCUAUUUUUUUAACCUCAAAAAUUUAAGGUUUAAUAUGAGUAAAAUGCACAUAUGUUUACAAUUUGGUAUUUACACCCAAUAUUUCAAGAAAUCUCCAACUACAGAAAUCUACAGGCCUGAUAGGUAUAAAAUUGUUUUUCUUUCAUUGUUCAAACUCUGUCCCCUGAGGAGUGAUUUGCCACUGUACUUACUGCCAACAUUAAGUUCAUCAUUGCUCCUUUUUUUUUAAAAUCAGGGAUUAAACCCAGGGGCAUUUAACCACUGAGCCACAUCCCCAGCCCUUUUUAUAUUUUAUUUAAAGCGAGAUCUCACUAAGUCACAAUCUAUGACAUAUGAGUCCCCUCUGGUUCAUGGGGGAUAUUUUCCCAAGAUUCUCUCAUGAAUGCCUGAAACUGUGCUUAAUACUGAGCCCCAUUGAGCUCUGCAGUACUGUAGUAAUGGAUGUAACCAAAACAACUACUGACCGACUACUACUAGUAGUAUAUACUGUAUGGAUGUCCUGACAGGCAGGACAGUAUGAGACAUCAUUCUAUUCAAGAUGACAUACAGUGUCAUGAAACUUAUGACUUGCUUAUUUCUGGAAUUUCCCCUUUAAUAUUUUUGGACUGUGGUUGAGCUUGAGUAACUGAAACCAUGUAUAAGGAGAAACCAUGUUGGGGCCCUACAGUGUCUUUGUUUUUGAAACCCUAUAAGACUAAAACAGAAUGGUACUGCUAUGUUAUAUGGUACAAGUAUGCUAAAUUUUGUAAGAAAUUGCUGAAUUUUUUUUUCUGAUAGUACUCCUAAAAGUACUAUCAAAUCACAUUGAGGGCUAGGACUUCAACACAUAAAUUAUAAUGAUGGCUGGAUGAGGGGGAAUGACAAACAUUCAGUCCAUAGUAUACUCCUGGGUAUUUACUCAAAGAGUUAUGAAAGCUUGUAUUCACACAAAAACAUAUGGAACUGUUAUAGCAGCCCUUACUCAUUCAUCCAAAACCGGAAUCAAGCACACUGUCUUCAACUGGCAAGUGGAUAAACAGUGGCACAGUCAUAUAAUGGAAUACUACUUACAGUAACAAAGAACAGAUCUACUGAUACAUGCACCAGCUUGGAUCAAUCUCAAAGGCAGCAUGCGAAGUUAAAAGAAGACUGACUCAAAGGCUACAUAUCUAUUGUACGCAUCUACAUCUACAUUACAUUUUAUAAAAGAGUCAAAACUAUUUGGAUGAAAAACUGAUCAGUGGUUGCUAAGGGAUAUUUGAAGAGAAGGGGUUUAGUACACAGCACUAGGAAACUUUCAGGAUGAUGAAAAUGUUCAACAUCUUGAUUGUGAUGGUUGUUACAUGACUGUAUUUGUAAAAAUAAAUAAAACUAUACCCCUAAAAAGAUGAAUUUUUUUGCCUGUAAAUUAUACCUCAUG
This 4502-nucleotide long non-coding RNA is filed under the name Marmota monax (woodchuck). Lineage: Eukaryota; Metazoa; Chordata; Mammalia; Rodentia; Sciuridae. The record is from RNAcentral.